CAAUAGCGUAUAUUAACGUUGUUGCAGUUAAAAAGCUCGUAGUUGGAUUUCUGGAGGGAGCGUCGGCCCGUAUUUACGAGUGCGUGACGUCUCUGUCCAUCCUUGCGGGAAGGCACGGCAUUGAUUUGUUGUGUCGGAUCGCAUCAUUUACUGUGAAAAAAUUAGAGUGUUCAAAGCAGGCUUUCGCUUGAAUACAUUAGCAUGGAAUAAUAAGAUAGGACUUUGGUGCUAUUUUGUUGGUUGAGCCUAAAGUAAUGAUUAAUAGGGAUAGUUGGGGGCACCUGUAUUGCGUUGUCAGAGGUGAAAUUCUUGGAUUUACGCAAGACAAACAGCUGCGAANGNGUCUGCNAAGGUUGUUUNCAUUA
Molecule: ribosomal RNA, 365 nt
Filed under: uncultured eukaryote
Lineage: Eukaryota
Description: partial 18S ribosomal RNA
Rfam family: Eukaryotic small subunit ribosomal RNA
Source: RNAcentral